This 1123-nucleotide ribosomal RNA is filed under the name uncultured bacterium. RNAcentral describes it as "bacterial SSU rRNA". It matches the Rfam family "Bacterial small subunit ribosomal RNA", at positions 47 to 1162 of the family's 1533-position model. The record is from RNAcentral.
AUUGAUUUUAUGCUUGCAUAAAUGAUUUUUGGAUUCGGAGCGAGUGGCGAACUGGUGAGUAACACGUGGGUAACCUGCCCCAAAGCGGGGGAUAACAUUUGGAAACAAGUGCUAAUACCGCAUAAUUAGUUGGAACCGCAUGGUUCCAACUUGAAAGAUGGCUCUGCUAUCACUUUGGGAUGGACCCGCGCCGUAUUAGUUAGUUGGUGAGAUAAAAGCCCACCAAGACGAUGAUACGUAGCCGACCUGAGAGGGUAAUCGGCCACAUUGGGACUGAGACACGGCCCAGACUCCUACGGGAGGCAGCAGUAGGGAAUCUUCCACAAUGGACGAAAGUCUGAUGGAGCAACGCCGCGUGAGUGAUGAAGGUUUUCGGAUCGUAAAACUCUGUUGUUAAAGAAGAACAAGUGUUAGAGUAACUGUUAACACUUUGACGGUAUUUAACCAGGAAGCCACGGCUAACUACGUGCCAGCAGCCGCGGUAAUACGUAGGUGGCAAGCGUUGUCCGGAUUUAUUGGGCGUAAAGCGAGCGCAGGCGGUUUUGUAAGUCUGCUGUGAAAGCCCUCAGCUCAACUGAGGAAGUGCAGUGGAAACUACAAAACUUGAGUACAGAAGAGGAAAGUGGAACUCCAUGUGUAGCGGUGAAAUGCGUAGAUAUAUGGAAGAACACCAGUGGCGAAGGCGGCUUUCUGGUCUGUUACUGACGCUGAGGCUCGAAAGCAUGGGUAGCGAACAGGAUUAGAUACCCUGGUAGUCCAUGCCGUAAACGAUGAAUACUAGGUGUUGGAGGGUUUCCGCCCUUCAGUGCCGCAGCUAACGCAUUAAGUAUUCCGCCUGGGGAGUACGACCGCAAGGUUGAAACUCAAAGGAAUUGACGGGGGCCCGCACAAGUGGUGGAGCAUGUGGUUUAAUUCGAUGCUACGCGAAGAACCUUACCAGCUCUUGACAUCUUCUGCCAACCCAAGAGAUUGGGCGUUCCCUUCGGGGACAGAAUGACAGGUGGUGCAUGGUUGUCGUCGGCUCGUGUCGUGAGAUGUUGGGUUAAGUCCCGCAACGAGCGCAACCCUUAUUAUUAGUUGCCAGCAUUUAGUUGGGCACUCUAGUGAGACUGCCGGUGAUAAA